Molecule: long non-coding RNA, 3711 nt
Organism: Mus musculus (house mouse)
Lineage: Eukaryota; Metazoa; Chordata; Mammalia; Rodentia; Muridae
Product: predicted gene, 19673
Exons: 2
Source: RefSeq, a predicted model, not a curated record
CCAUAUUUUUCUUGAGUUAAUAUAAUGUACCCUUUUUUGUAUAAAAUCCACAGAUUCAUGUAAGCACUGUUAUAACCAGGAUACAUGAGUUUCAUUUUCACCAGGCCUGCCUUAGUAGCAUGGUUUCUUGCUGGUUACCCUCCCCUACCUUUCCUAAGCCCCAAAUGUGCUCUGUUCUCUCUUGCUUUCACUUUCCUUUCCUGGAAGAGGAUGUAGGUGCCGUGGAGGCUGAGGCAUUUUAAGACUGACCUCCUUCAGUCAGUACACUGCUUUUGAGUCCCACCCUUGUUAUUACUGUGUCAGUAGUAUGCUCUCCUUUAUUCCUGAGCAGUAUUGGUUGGGUGAAUGUCUUCACCUUCUUAGUCUCUUCUAUUGGUGGACUUUGAGGACUGGAAAGUGCAAAGGAAGCUGCCCUGUUCACUGACAUGUAUUAUGAUUUUAUUUCUCUGCCUUUCUGGUUGUCAGCUUUUCGUCACCAUUACCAAACACUUGAGAGAAAGAACUUUAAAGGAGGGAAAGUUUCGGGGUCUCCAUUAAUGCAAUGAGCACCCUCAUGAUCCCUUGGCACCUCAAGAGAGAUACGAGCUUUUAAUACACCAACUUUUGGAGGGAGACAUUUCAUAUCUCCAACGUAAAAAGGUUAAAUACAACUGCGGACACAUUGGUAAAGUGCAUGUCUAGCUUACUAAUAAACUAACCCCUGGUUCCAGGAUGAACUUUAUAUUUAGAUUUUUCUGAGCAAUGCAAGCACUUGGCAUUCCCAGGUGUUGAAAGGUCAGAGUGAGUGAUAAAGGCAUGUCAGAAAAACCAAUCUCCCAUUUUAAAAUGGAAACAAUGCAAGCGUCGGGUAGGAAAUAAGAAAAUAUUUUACAUUGAUAUGUAUUAAGGAAGGAGCUGACUGUGUUAUCUGAUGAAGACAAGAAGAAAUAGAGGGGGCUGAACCAUAUGGGAAACCUGAGAGACCGUGGAAGUACUACUAGGAAAGCCCAGGAAGUGAGUAGCUGAAUUUUGUAUGUCAAAGCUAUAAAGUAGCGUGCGGCAUUUCACAUAAAGAACAUAGGAAAAGUACUCCUACCUUAAAUGAAACCCAACUCUGAAGAUUUUUCUCUAUAAGGAACAAAUUAGAACUCAUUUAGGGCAGUUACAAGGUUUUAAAGAAAAGAACUAAGAGAAUGAGAAGGGGGUUGAGGGUGUCCAUGACUUCAGUAGGGAGAAAGAUCAUGGGUAGCCUAAGAUAGCCAGUUUGACCAAAUUAUGGUCCAGGCAUCAUGGAUCUCAGCACUUCACCUGAGGGCCAACAUACAUUUAAAAAAAAAAGAGUCAUACUGAGACUCUGAGAUGGCAGGGACAUUGGAGAAAGGUAUAGGAAGUAAGGUGGUCUUAAAGUCAGAAAUGCAAACACAUGUACUUAAUAAGUGGACUAUGGUUGUCAUGUUAGAAUGCAUUCAGUGAUGAUGUAUACUAUGUGCAAUGUGACUAUUGUCUCAAUUGGCAGUGUGUAUCCACUGCAAAGCACUAACGAAGCCUGUGCAAGUGAAAUGUCGCCAUCAAAGCCUGUACAUACAGUGCAAGUGCACACAUGCACAGGCACAUGCACACAUACACACACACACACACACACACACACACACACACACCACCAUACCACCACCAUACCACACCAGUGCUGGGCAUUUUCUCAGAAGAGUUACAGCCCUAAUUUUCACUUGAAAAACCUGUCUUUGAUUUGCUAGAGAAAGUACUGAAUGUAGCACAUCUUCUGAAGUAUGAAAAUAAAAAGAUCCAUCUCCAGAUGUUCUUGUUAAUUGUAGAACCUCCUUAGAGGAUGAAGGUGAAGGUACCAAAUGGCAGCCAUCAUGGAAGAGAUCUGGUAUUUUCAAAUUGAUACCACAAUAAGAUGAACCCCUUAAGGGAGUUGGGGGAUUGGGGAGAUGGGGAAAUGGCUGUGUGACUUUCUGAAAAUGGCGGGCACCAGGCACAAAGGCAAAUUCAGUCAUGGAAGUGAUAUAUUUAGCAAGAAGACUGACAUGUUAUAGAAACACUGAAGCUCAUUCAAUGACUUGGAGCAGUUUCAGGAGGGCGAUAGAGAAGUGGAAUUCAGACAGCACUGGAGGAAACACGUAAUGAAGAGGAAGCACACAGAUACCUGUCGUUGGUAGUUUGGGGUAAGUGGAAGUUAAAAAUAGUGCAGUGGCAAUAGGAGCUUCUGGCCAAGUGAACUGCUUUCAAAACUUGGUCUGAGGAUCACACUGUCUUCCUCUGUCUCUAUCUCAUCCAAGGGUGUGAUCAUAAUAAAGGAUAAAUUGGCAGUGCAAAAGAGUGGUGGGUGCCAAGACAAGAGCCCGAGGACUUCCCUGAAAAGGAACUAUAUAUAGGACCUUGCAAACCAGUUGUUUUUGUUUCUGCCUCUGUCCAACCCAGAAUAACAGCCAGAGCAUUUAUGUGGCAAACAUCCCAUAAUUCAGCAGGAGGCAGAGCAGGGCGUCUCCAGGAGUGGAUCUUCCUACUGCUAUGCUACUUGGCUGGAACCCAUGACAAUCCAUUCAAGCAGUCAAGUCACUGACGGGCAGAAAAGCUAGAGUUCAAAGUAUGUUUGUAUGUGUGGUAUGUAACAUCAGAACAUUUCCCGGGGGGUGGAGGGGUUGGGGAAGGUACUUUGCAGUUCUCCCAAAUCUUUACAAAAGAAGGUUGUAGAUUUGGAGAGCUGAAGACCCUGAAGACAUAAAUCCCAUAGUGCCCCCCUCCUCCCUUUUCUGAUUCUAUGCUCACCAAGUUGAGUGGGGUAGACCCUGAGUUGGGGCAGCAGGCUUGUCAGGGUUCUCGUGUAAAUUAAGAAGUGGAAUGAGGUUUCACGAGCUGGUCUCUUGAGGGCUUCCCUGCUGGACUGGUAAGGUGAUUGAGUACUCUCAGGCCAGGUAAACUCCACACACUGGUCCUUCACGGUUCUGAGCCUGCGCAGUUGAUGUCAGUGAGCUUGCUUUGGGGAGUGCCACAGUGAUCAGUAGAAGAAACCAGCUGGGCUUUCAAGAAACUCUUCUAUGCUUACAUAGACUGAUGCCUAAGAAGCCGUAACACCGUCGCAGUUACUGGCAACCCUCAUUUUCUACACUGAUGACCCGCGCCACUGUUGCAUUUGUGACAGCCAUUCCAUUCUUUUAUAAAACUCACUUUAAUGUCAAAAAGCAGUGACAAGCUUCCUAGAGCAAUGGUUUUUAGGAAAUGUUCACCCUUUGGGGUCCACUGGAACCCUGACUCUGCCGCCAGUCGGCUUUGCUGUAUUGCCUGGAUCUAGGCCGGAGGAGAUGGGAAGCAGACUGCCAGAGAUGAAACUGGCAGAUAGAAGGGAAAGGAAGCAAGCCCUUGACCUUCUCUUUUCUCCUGACCGAUACCAUUCUUGAAAAUAUGUGUGUGUGUUCUAACCCCGGUAGUCUCCCUACCCUCUUCCUAUUCCACUUUAUUAUCUAUUUUUACCAUUCUGCAGAAACUGGUCUAAGGUCACAGUAUGCCAGAUCUGAUGGCCUCGUUUUAACUUCCCUCCACCGUGUUAUCUCCUUCACGUUUCAGGAUAGGUGGAAAGCUAUCCUGUUCUUUGUGGUUUUGACCAGCAUUUGUCGCACAGCACAAUGACUACUUCCUAGGAAAUAUGAAAUACAGUCUUACUGCGAGAGCCAAUAACCUUUUUUCAUUAAUAAAGAAAAGCUUUCUCUUGUU